GGGUCCUUAGCUCAAUUGGUUAGAGCAAUUGACUGUUAAUCAAUAGGUUGUGGGUUCGAGUCCCACAGGUCCCG
RNAcentral lists this transfer RNA (74 nucleotides) under Crassvirales sp. Its description in RNAcentral is "tRNA-Asn". It matches the Rfam family "tRNA". Rfam says of the family: Transfer RNA (tRNA) molecules are approximately 80 nucleotides in length. Their secondary structure includes four short double-helical elements and three loops (D, anti-codon, and T loops). The record is from RNAcentral. Lineage: Duplodnaviria; Heunggongvirae; Uroviricota; Caudoviricetes; Crassvirales.